RNAcentral lists this unclassified non-coding RNA (1558 nucleotides) under uncultured fungus. Its description in RNAcentral is "sequence contains 18S rRNA gene, ITS1, 5.8S rRNA gene, ITS2, 28S rRNA gene". The stretch from base 626 to 1558 matches the Rfam family "Eukaryotic large subunit ribosomal RNA", at positions 1 to 961 of the family's 3401-position model. Lineage: Eukaryota; Fungi. The record is from RNAcentral.
GGAAGGAUCAUUGAAUCUAUCACAAUCCACACCGUGAACCAUCCUGUUGGCCUCCUGACAGUUAAAAUGUGAGGGCUAGGACGCAGUUUCCGUAAAGGAACCUGCUCCUAGGUUGUCGGCAAAAAGGCUCUGUCCUUUUUGGCGGCAUCGGUCUUUAAAAUACUAACCAACCAACACCAAACCAAACCUAAUAAUAAACCGAGCGUCUGGCUUAGAGCCAGCGCUCACCAACCAAGACAACUCUCAACAACGGAUAUCUUGGCUCUCAGAUCGAUGAAGAACGCAGCGAAAUGCGAUACGUAGUGUGAAUUGCAGAAAUACGUGAAUCAUCGAAUCUUUGAACGCAAAUUGCGCUCGAGGCUUCGGCCAAGAGCAUGUCUGCCUCAGCGUCGGGUUAAUACUCGCUCUCAUAUUCCCUAGGGAUGUGAGCAAGCGGAACUGGCUGUCUCGGUGUUAUUAGCUUAACGCCGGGUCGGCUGAAGUACAGAGGUUGAUGCAUGGACCCGCUAAUGGGCCUCUACUGGGUAGGCAACUCGUUGCUAAUGCUUUAGUAGAUGGCUUGGGGCUGUGCUUUGUCGACCCGAACCAGGAACUCGGAGCAAUCCGAGCAAACCCCCUAUUUUCUCGACCUGAGCUCAGGCAAGAACACCCGCUGAACUUAAGCAUAUCAAUAAGCGGAGGGAAAAGAAACUAACAAGGAUUCCCCUAGUAACGGCGAGCGAACCGGGAAUAGCCCAACUUGAAAAUCUCCCUUUGGAGAAUUGUAGUCUAGAGAAGCGCUUUCUAGGGCUGGCGGAACUCAAGUCGGAUCGAAUGCCGCGUCAGAGAGGGUGAUAACCCCGUCGGUUCCUGCCUAGCUCUUCCACGAAGUGCUUUCCACGAGUCGGGUUGUUUGGGAAUGCAGCCCUAAUUUGGAGGUAAAUCCCUUCUAAGGCUAAAUACUGCUGAGAGACCGAUAGCGAACAAGUACCGUGAGGGAAAGAUGAAAAGAACUUUGAAAAGAGAGUUAAAAGUGCUUGAAAUUGUUGAGAGGGAAGCGAUUGGCGCGUGUAGGUGCGCCCAGGCUUAAGCGGUCCUAACGGCCCGUUGAAUGUGCUGGGUGCUGGUCAGAGUGGGUUGAAUUGGCGGGACAAAAGUCGGGUCCACCCAGGUAACCCGGCCGAUGCCGCCGAUUCGACCAAGGAGUAAAGAUCGCUCUGUCCUUCGGGAUCUGCGUUCUAAAGACUCUGGCAGAAACGCGUCAAUCGACCCGUCUUGAAACACGGACCAAGGAGUCUAACAUGUAUGCGAGUUGGCGGGUGGUAAACCGUAAGCGCAAGUAACCUGACUGGUGGGAUGGGGUAAAACCCUGCACCAUCGACCGACCAUGUUGUUUCUACGAAAGGUUUGAGUGCGAGCAUACCUGUUGGGACCCGAAAGAUGGUGAACUAUGCCUGAGCAGGGUGAAGCCAGAGGAAACUCUGGUGGAGGCUCGUAGAUGUGCUGACGUGCAAAUCGCUUUUCAGACUUGGGUAUAGGGGCGAAAGACUAAUCGAACCAUCUAGUAGCUGGUUCCCUC